CAUUUCAGAAUGAACUUCGUAGGAACCUGAAUUGUCCGAUUUCAAGGACCAAUCGAUAUCGAAUUGAGUCCAAAACUUGGGGAACAUCAUAAUAUUGUGGGAGGAGUCAUUUGGUAGGUUUUGAGUGAAAUCCAAUCUCUAGAACUAUACAAUACACCAACCACCCCAUUUCAGAACGAACUUCGUACGAACCUGAAUUGUCCGAUUUCAUUGACCAAUCGAUAACGAAUUGAGUCCAAAACUUCGAGGAACAUCAUAAUAUUGUGGGAGGAGUCAUUUGGUGGGUUUUGAGUGAAAUCCAAUCUCUAGAACUAUACAAUACACCAACCACCCCAUUUCAGAACGAACUCGUACUAACCUGAAUUGUCCGAUUUCAUUGACCAAUCGAUAACGGAUUGAGUCCAAAAC
RNAcentral lists this long non-coding RNA (408 nucleotides) under Prunus persica (peach). RNAcentral describes it as "long non-coding RNA (PPER_LNC006168)". Lineage: Eukaryota; Viridiplantae; Streptophyta; Magnoliopsida; Rosales; Rosaceae. The record is from RNAcentral.